GCGAGAAACCUUUGCAAUGUGCGCAAGCACGACAAGGUUAAUCCGAGUGUUUCCUGCUAAAGGAAUCUUUUGUUAGUUCUAAAACCACUGAUGAAUAAGAGGUGGGCAAGUUCUGGUGUCAGCCGCCGCGGUAAAACCAGCACCUCAAGUGGUCAGGAGGAUUAUUGGGCCUAAAGCAUCCGUAGCCGGUUCUGUAAGUUUUCGGUUAAAUCCACUAGCUUAACUAAUGGGCUGCCGAAAAUACUCGCAGAACUAGGGGAGUGGGAGAGGUAGACGGUACUCGGUAGGAAGGGGUAAAAUCCUUUGAUCUAUUGAUGACCACCUGUGGCGAAGGCGGUCUACCAGAACACGUUCGACGGUGAGGGAUGAAAGCUGGGGGAGCAAACCGGAUUAGAUACCCGAGUAGUCCCUGAGCGGGCUGGCAAGGCGC
This 430-nucleotide ribosomal RNA is filed under the name uncultured bacterium. RNAcentral's name for it is "bacterial SSU rRNA". It matches the Rfam family "Archaeal small subunit ribosomal RNA", at positions 339 to 774 of the family's 1478-position model. The record is from RNAcentral.